CUACAUUUAAAAAUUAAAAGUUAAAACAAAAUCACUUCCAAGCCCGUGCCCUCCCUCCUCCCUUUUUUCCCCAAUUCGAAAAUCUUCACCUCCGGUCCACCCUCCUCCACCGAUCCACCUCCGGUCCUCCACGGCUGACGGCUCCACCCAAUUCCAAAAUCAGAGUACCUUAAUUUGAGCUCUGCCUCUGCGAAUCUUUCUAAAGCAAUUGAUUGGGUACAGGAAAUGAUAUUCAACCUACCCACCGAUUAGUUUCCUUCUGCUUGAUGGACUCAGCUUUAGCUGCUUGAAGUUUGUUGCAAAGAUGAGUGAUCCAAAGCGAGAUGGUUCAACUCAAAGUUCACAAAAUUCUUCCCCAAGUAGAGAUGAUCAAACAACAACCCAGGAAAAUGUUCGAAAAAAGGAUUAUAAAUUUUUAACAGAGGAUAUCUUAUAUGGUUUUAACAGCACAUUGGGUGGAUGAUGAGUGGAGGUUGCAAAAAAGGAUUAUAAAUUUUUUCCCAAUAUCCGCUCAUAGAGGUGAAAGCAUAGGUCAAGCCAUCGAAAAAUGUCUUCGAGAUUGGGGGAUUGAGAGGGUCUUCACUAUUAUAGUUGAUAAUGCAUCCGCCAAUAGUGUUGCCAUUGAAUAUUUGAGAAAGAAAUUGAAUCAUCGAAAUGUUUCUGUUGCAAAUGGAAGAUUUAUUCAUAUGAGAUGUGUUGCACACAUUCUUAAUCUCAUUGUGCAAUACGGUAUUAAAGAUGCUUCUGUGUCUGUGGAUCGAGUUAGAGGUGCUGUGAGGUAUAUAAGAGCAUCACCAUCGAGGUUGACAAAAUUCAACCAACGAGUAAAAGAAGAAAUGAUAGAUAGUAAGGCUCAAUUGUGUUUAGAUGUGCCUACUAGAUAGAACUCAACAUAUAUGAUGUUAAAGGUGGCCGAAAAAUAUGAGCGUUCAUUUGAUUCAUAUGUACGUGAUGACCAUAAUUUUUUUCUUGACCUUACUGCUAGAGAUGGAGUUCCUACAUUUGAUGAUUGGGAAAUUGUUCGAAAAAUUAUAAAAGUAUUAGAGCCUUUUUAUCAUCUUACAUUGAAGGUGUCCGGAUCUUUGCAUGUUACCUCUCAUUCACUUUUUGAAGUAUUGACGGAUGUGCAUUGUCUUUUUUAUGGGUGGCAAGAUUGUGGAGAUCUAGACAUAAUUUCUAUGACUUCCAAAAUGAGAAAGAAAUAUAAUAAGUAUUGGGGUGAAGGAAACAAGAUCAACAUGCUAGUUUACUUGGCAGUCAUCUUUGAUCCGCGAUGUAAAAUGAGUUUUUUGGACUUUGGGGUCAACUUGCUUUUUCCUAAUGUUGCUAAUGACAUUAUGAAAAUGUUUGAUAAAGAUUUGCAUUGCUUGUUCAAUGAGUAUUCUUCUAAUGCCGGGAGAAUUGAAUUGUUUGAAGGUAGAUCUAGUUCUUCGAUAAAUCUUUGUAGUUCAAUGGAAAUAGAUCAGUCAGAAAUGAAAACGGGCUUGGCCAAACAAAAAUACCUUAAUAAGAAUAAACAAGUUAGAUUAGAAAGCAAAUCUGAGUUGGAUAGAUAUUUGGGUGAGGAUGAAGAACUAAACAAUUCAAGUUCAUUUGAUUUACUAUUAUGAUGGAAAAUGAACAGUCCUAGAUUCUCUAUUCUUGCACAAAUGGCUCGAGAUAUUCUUGCUAUUCCUAUCUCAACAGUUGCCUCGGAAAGUGCAUUUAGCACCGGUGGACGUGUUCUCGAUAGUUUUAGAAGUUCUCUAACUCCUCUCAUGGUCGAAGCUUUGGUUUGCACACAAGAUUGGCUUCGGAAAUCUAAUGAUGCCAUUAAUCUUGAAGAUUAUUUUGAUGAACUUCAAACAAUGGAAUAUGACUUAUCCAAAAUACCAAGAUCAAGAAGGUAACAUACUUAGCAUUAGUUUAUAAAGUUAAAUGUUUAUUUAAUUUAUUUUUGCAAAAUGUUUUAUUAUUUAACUAACUCAUUCAAUACUUUUACUAAAUGUUU
Molecule: long non-coding RNA, 1990 nt
Organism: Gossypium raimondii (Peruvian cotton)
Lineage: Eukaryota; Viridiplantae; Streptophyta; Magnoliopsida; Malvales; Malvaceae
Exons: 5
Source: RefSeq, a predicted model, not a curated record